UCCCUUGGUCUUGUGAUUUGAGUUGAUAUUUUCUCCUGAUUCUUUCUCAACAAUACUUAGUUUGAGAUCACUUAACAAAAAUCUAUGCAUCCUAUAACAAUUCCAAGCGUAAGAAAUUGUGAAGUGUGCGGAACCUUGGGUAUAAAGGGCAAGGAAUUAUGUGUAAUGCCUUCUAAACAAUCCUGCAAGCAAUCACAGAUUUCAGUACAGGAAAUCCUACAAACAAUUGCAGAUUUCUGAUAAAUCCAGUCCUUCCAAAUUUCUUAUGAUCCACAAACUCAGAUUUGAUUUGUUGCAUAAAACCCAUUGACAAAAAAUCAAUUUCGACUAAUUAUUUCCUCUUCACUGGAGAACCAACCAAAAAACAGGAGAAAGUCAUGGCAAAGAAUACAGGAAAAUCAGUUUAGACCUACUGUAUUAGGCAGGAAUGCCAAGGCAGGGUGGAGAAGGUGGAGACAGAAUAAUUUGACAUACAAUUUUGAAUCUUUCAUCUAAUUAUUGCAGUCACAUGAAUAGCUAACCAAGAACCAAGUUGAAUAGAUAUUUGGUUGAAAUGCAACACAAUAAACAGAUAAUACCACCUAUAUAAAACUUGUUUCAGGAAAAAACAGAGCAUUUGGUCAAAUUUUACAAAGAUUGAGAGCUUGGCUAGUGAUCCAAAUCCUUUCCUUAUUCAACCCACUAAUCAAGAACACCAACCCCAUUCUAGUUCAGAAAAGGACCAACGCAAGGAUCUUACUUACAAAGUAAUUUUUGGAGUUUUUCCUUAUCCAAAGUUGUCUUGCAAGACAAUAUGAUUUCACAUUGAGCUCCAAACAAUCGCUGGCGUUUUAACCAAAACAACUUAUUGCGCAAUUCAUGCGUUUCUGCUUUCAUGACUACAAAUUUCUUCUUAAUUUCCAUGAAAAAUUGUUCUCUGGACUUUUUAUCAAUAUGAGGUGAUCGUAACACAGUAUACAAGACUCGUGAUUGAGGCAAUCCAAUCUUCGACGCACCUGGAGUAUUAAAAUAGGCAUCUUCUGAUUCACUGCUUUUUCCACCAGCUUGUGAAAAAAUACUUCGCUUCACCAUAGAGAACUCUGAACAACAAACUUGACUCAAUCCCCGGAAGCUGACAAUAGAAGCAAUAUGUUAAAAUUAUCACUUAUAAUUAAUAAAAAUGAAAUUGAAAGAUAAAAUUGACCAAAAGACAAGUAAUGCCAACAAAACAAAAAGGGGUUUCCAGGCAAAAGGCAAAACAAAGGAACUUUACCAAAUGAGAUACCUAAGCGUAUCCAAUUAUAAUACAAGAACUGUUCAAAGUUCCAAACUUCAUACUGAGAUGUUAUCAGAAAUCAUAAUUACAGUGCUCUAACACGGCACUACAGGUGAUGAAAAAGCAAUGAAGCCUUGCACAUCCCCUUGUGUAUCAAAAAGAAUAAGAACUGGCUGUAAUUCUGUCCAACUCUUUCUUUUUCAUUCAUAGAAAUCAGAACCAAAAUAAAAUAAAAGCCUUACAGAAAAAGAACAAGCCAAUUACAAUAAUUUACUGAAAUAUAAUUAAUUGUUGCAACUUGAAAAGAAAAGAACUAAAAUUUUUAUACAUUUUCUGCUCAAAGAAAAUCCCACCCUGAAAAACCACCAAGUUUUCAAGAAGAAUACCAUUUACUUUGUUAGUAAUCAAAUCAAGAUCAAUCAAAAGAAACCCACAAAAAAAAAAAAGAUCAAAUGGUAAAAUAUAAAUUUCUUCUAAACAGAGAAAGUAAUACAUGUAGACAGAGAAAGACAAGAGAGGAAUUUACUUGAGAGGAUUGGAAGCUGGACGAAUAGCCCACAUAGUGAAUAGCUGGUUUCAAUGAAGAGAGAGAUUUGUAAGGAGAAGAAAAACAAAGAAGAGGAGGAAACAAAUUCUCAGUUGAUAGAUAUGAGAUGGACUUUGAGAGCGGCUAGGGUUUAGAAGUG
RNAcentral lists this unclassified non-coding RNA (1941 nucleotides) under Hevea brasiliensis (rubber tree). Lineage: Eukaryota; Viridiplantae; Streptophyta; Magnoliopsida; Malpighiales; Euphorbiaceae. The record is from RNAcentral.